RNAcentral lists this small RNA (125 nucleotides) under Suipraeoptans intestinalis. RNAcentral's name for it is "Ribosomal protein L10 leader". It matches the Rfam family "Ribosomal protein L10 leader", at positions 12 to 135 of the family's 138-position model. Rfam says of the family: This family is a putative r-protein leader autoregulatory structure found in B. subtilis and other low-GC Gram-positive bacteria. It is located in the 5' untranslated regions of mRNAs encoding ribosomal proteins L10 and L12 (rplJ-rplL). Lineage: Bacteria; Bacillati; Bacillota; Clostridia; Lachnospirales; Lachnospiraceae. The record is from RNAcentral.
UGAUGACUGCCAAAGACAGCAGGUGCGAAAGCGUAAGUAGACCAACGCCUGCCGAGGAGUAAGAAUUCUUUAUCAGAAGAGUUGGAUUCCUCUGUGUCUUUUUGGCACAGAGGAUUUUUAUUUUA